GCUUGAGGAACGUGAAGUCAGAGACUGAGCCUGGGGUCCUAGUCUUGCUCUCACGGGUGAGAGUUCGGGGCCCCGAGUCGAAAACCAAAACAACGACUCUCAGCAACGGAUAUCUUGGCUCUUGCAACGAUGAAGAACGCAGCGAAAUGCGAUACCUAGUGUGAAUUGCAGAAUUCCGCGAAUCAUCGAGUCUUUGAACGCAAGUUGCGCCCGAGGCUUGUCCCGAGGGCAUGCCUGCCUGAGCGUCACCGCACUCCCACUCCCGUGGUUACAUCUCGGUUCGAGGACCGGGGGUGCUGCCGAGAGUGGAACUGGCCGUCCGGGACCCGGCGUGAAGCCGAUGGUCGUGGUUGGCUGAAAUGCAGCGUUCUGGACGCAGCUUAAGAGAGGAGCCGCGAGAAGGUGAUCCGCCCCUCGCCGGGCGGAGUCAAAAGACAGCGGUUCUCUCGCUUGGGUGGUCCGGGACGACCGCGGCGGGGCACAGCCCCGUCGGGGAAAUGCGAGGGGAUGGCCUGUCCAUCUCCCUCUCCAGCUUGGACCUCAGAUCAGG
RNAcentral lists this ribosomal RNA (550 nucleotides) under Herbertus norenus. RNAcentral describes it as "eukaryotic LSU rRNA". The stretch from base 95 to 248 matches the Rfam family "5.8S ribosomal RNA". Lineage: Eukaryota; Viridiplantae; Streptophyta; Jungermanniopsida; Jungermanniales; Herbertaceae. The record is from RNAcentral.